ACGGGGCGCAGCAGGCGCGAAAACUUUACAAUGUGCGAAAGCACGAUAAGGGAACUCUGAGUGCCUCCUAAGGAGGCUGUUCAGAUGUCUAAAAAGCAUCUGAAGGAAGGGCUGGGUAAGACUGGUGCCAGCCGCCGCGGUAACACCAGCAGCCCGAGUGGUAGUCACGUUUACUGGGUCUAAAGCGUCCGUAGCCGGCCGGGUAAGUUCCUUGGGAAAUUUGGUCGCUCAACGAUCAAGCUACUUGGGAAUACUACCUGGCUUGGGACCGGGAGAGGUCAGAGGUACCUCAAGGGUAGGGGUGAAAUCCGUUAAUCCUUGGGGGACCACCGGUAGCGAAGGCGUCUGACCAGACCGGAUCCGACGGUGAGGGACGAAGGCUAGGGGAGCGAAUCGGAUUAGAUACCCGAGUAGUCCUAGCUGUAAACGAUGCGGGCUAGGUGUUGGCAUUACUGCGAGUGAUGCCAGUGCCGAAGGGAAGCCGUUAAGCCCGCCAUCUGGGGAGUACGGUCGCAAGGCUGAAACUUAAAGGAAUUGGCGGGGGAGCACCACAACGGGUGGAGCUUGCGGUUCAAUUGGAUUCAACGCCGGAAAUCUCACCGGAGGCGACAGCGAGAUGAAGGUCAGGCUAAAGACCUUACCGGAUUAGCUGAGAGGUGGUGCAUGGCCGUCGGCAGUUCGUGUCAUGAGACAUCCUGUUAAGUCAGGCAACGGGCGAGACCCGUGCCCACAGUUGCCAGCAUCUCCGCAAGGAGGAUGGGCACUCUGUGGGGACCGCCAUCGCUAAGAUGGAGGAAGAAGCGGGCCACGGUAGGUCAGUAUGCCCCGAAUCCUCCGGGCUACACGCGUGCUACAAUGGGUAGUACAAUGGGCAUCGACCCCGAAAGGGGAAGGUAAUCCCCUAAAGCUACCCUCAGUUGGGAUCGAGGGCUGCAACUCGCCCUCGUGAACCUGGAAUCCGUAGUAAUCGCCCCUCAAAAUGGGGCGGUGAAUAUGUCCCUGCUCCUUGCACACACCGCCCGUCAAGCCAGCCGAGUGGGAUUUAGGUGAGGGCAUUCUUCUUGGAGUGUCCGAACCUAAGUCUCGUGAGGGGGGCUAAGUCGUAACAAGGUAGCCGU
Molecule: ribosomal RNA, 1118 nt
Filed under: uncultured archaeon
Lineage: Archaea
Description: bacterial SSU rRNA
Rfam family: Archaeal small subunit ribosomal RNA
Source: RNAcentral